CUACCCUUGACAUGGCAGGAAUCCCGAAGAGAUUUGGGAGUGCUCGCAAGAGAACCUGCACACAGGUGCUGCAUGGCUGUCGUCAGCUCGUGUCGUGAGAUGUUGGGUUAAGUCCCGCAACGAGCGCAACCCUUGUCAUUAGUUGCUACGAAAGGGCACUCUAAUGAGACUGCCGGUGACAAACCGGAGGAAGGUGGGGAUGACGUCAAGUCCUCAUGGCCCUUAUGGGUAGGGCUUCACACGUCACACAAUGGUACAUACAGAGGGCCGCCAACCCGCGAGGGGGAGCUAAUCCCAGAAAGUGUAUCGUAGUCCGGAUUGUAGUCUGCAACUCGACUACAUGAAGUUGGAAUCGCUAGUAAUCGCGGAUCAGCAUGUCGCGGUGAAUA
Molecule: ribosomal RNA, 389 nt
Filed under: uncultured beta proteobacterium
Lineage: Bacteria; Pseudomonadati; Pseudomonadota; Betaproteobacteria
Description: bacterial SSU rRNA
Rfam family: Bacterial small subunit ribosomal RNA
Source: RNAcentral